This 403-nucleotide ribosomal RNA is filed under the name Clostridioides difficile. RNAcentral describes it as "bacterial SSU rRNA". It matches the Rfam family "Bacterial small subunit ribosomal RNA", at positions 416 to 841 of the family's 1533-position model. The record is from RNAcentral. Lineage: Bacteria; Bacillati; Bacillota; Clostridia; Peptostreptococcales; Peptostreptococcaceae.
CUUCGGGUCGUAAAACUCUGUCCUCAAGGAAGAUAAUGACGGUACUUGAGGAGGAAGCCCCGGCUAACUACGUGCCAGCAGCCGCGGUAAUACGUAGGGGGCUAGCGUUAUCCGGAUUUACUGGGCGGAAAGGGUGCGUAGGCGGUCUUUCAAGUCAGGAGUGAAAGGCUACGGCUCAACCGUAGUAAGCUCUUGAAACUGGGAGACUUGAGUGCAGGAGAGGAGAGUGGAAUUCCUAGUGUAGCGGUGAAAUGCGUAGAUAUUAGGAGGAACACCAGUUGCGAAGGCGGCUCUCUGGACUGUAACUGACGCUGAGGCACGAAAGCGUGGGGAGCAAACAGGAUUAGAUACCCUGGUAGUCCACGCUGUAAACGAUGAGUACUAGGUGUCGGGGGUUACCCCC